UCUUUUCAGCUUGGAAAAGGAGAGGAAACCGACAGCGAUAUCUCUCUGUGUGCGCCCUGAUUAAAGCAUUGGACUGACUUUAGUUUCUGCAUAGGAGUUCACAAAGGGAACUCCAACUACAGAAUGCGUCCCGGUUACAAAAACAGUUGACAUUUGUGUUCUUUGGUAUCUCACCAACUAAUGGAUGGAUUGCCACCCAGGAUGAAUCUUAAGCCACUCUUGUGAUGUGAAACAAAUACAGGGAACCUAUACAUAGCUGUCAGCAGGGAGUUCAACUUGAGAUGGAACUCUACAAAAAUACACACUUGAGCCCACAAAGG
Molecule: long non-coding RNA, 320 nt
Organism: Dicentrarchus labrax (European seabass)
Lineage: Eukaryota; Metazoa; Chordata; Actinopteri; Moronidae
Exons: 3
Source: RefSeq, a predicted model, not a curated record